CACUUUCUGGGCAGUUUUGAGUACCUAACACUAAUUUGGACGAAAUUGGACUAAAACUUGACUCAAGACACUUAGAAACACAAACUAAAUUGAUUUCUAACUAAUCUAACACUUUAAAAUAAAUGGGGGAUUGAUUUUGACGAAAUUGAAAUUAAAACAGAGACUUGUAAACAAACUUCAAACAAAACAGAUUGUGAUGAAAUAGAAUGGUGAGAAACUAGUUAGAGGGUUCCUUAUCCACACAUGAACAUAUGCAUAUAAUUUGAUUCCCAGUUAUGACUUCAACAAACAAUGAAUGACAAUGCUCCAAGUUAAUUAGGUUCGCUUAAAUUAACUUUCAGAUUUCCCUAGAUUCAUUGGAUUGAAUGGGAUACGCAUUAAAACCAAAUUAUUCCUCAUCAAAGUCCCUAACUAUGGAAUACGCAUGAUAGAGAUAUUCAACAAAGAUCAUUAAGUUCAACGGAAAUCAUGAACAUCAACUAGGCAUUCAUAACUAUGGAAUACGCAUGUUAAUCCAGCCUAGGGUUUACUUAAACACAAUCGUGACUAGCGAUCUUUACUACUUAUGAAUAUAAGUUCAUAACGAUUAGGUGAAAUUCCCUUAUAUCCUAGCAUCAAGUUUAGGCAUGCAAAUUAAGUGUCGACCCUCAACCCACAUACAUAGACAAGUUCUUAAUCAAAACAGAAAAGUAAACCACAUCUAAAGUUCAUGAAUUCAUAACUGGAGUAAAUCAAAUCAUAACCAACGUAUGUCCAUGGCUUCAAAUUCGCCUCUAACUAAAAAGAAAUUAGUUCCACAUGUUUAACAUAAUUGAAAAGCAAAUUAAAUUAAACAUGAAAACAGAAACAAGAGAGAAAGAACUCCAAACACUCCACUAAUGGCAGAUUGCAUGUGCAAGGUUUCUCCCUCCUUUGGACUGCACGGCACUACUUCUUUCUCCUUCAAUGGUGGCUGCACGAGGUGGUGAUGGUGGUGGAAAGGUGCGGCUGUGGUGGAUGAAUGGUUAUUUGAAUAGGGUAGAAGGGUUAAGGGGAUUAGGGGGCACGGCAGAGACUUAGAACUAGGGAGAAUGAUGUGGUGGUUGCGGCAAGGCUUAGGGUAGAUUUCUGGAGAGAAUGGAUGAUAUGGGAGGUGGUGUUUUUGGCCAAAAGCUUUAAAGGAGUAUAUAUAGGCACUUAAAAACCCUAGCAAUCAGAUUAGGGUUUCUAGAAGCCCACAUCCAACAGAAAAUAGGUUAAAACAAUCAGAUUUUGCAUGGGAAAAGGCCUAGGGUUCGGCUGGUUUAGUGGGCUAAGGUUAAGGCUUCUAGAAUGCCUUGCAAGGCAAGGAAAUCAGGUAUUUAAAACCCUAGGUGUGGCAUAGGAUUAGGGAGAUCAGAUUUGGAAAUGGGCUAGGGUUUAGGUGCGGCAUAUGGUGAAUAUCCACAAAGAAUUAGGGCUUAGGUCCACUUAGUUUUAGACAGGGAUUUGUAUAACUCAAAUCCACAACUAAAGGCCCUAAUAAGUCAGAAAUUAAGAGAGAAUGGCUAGGAAGUGCGGCUCAAGUCCAAGAGGUAAGGAUAGGUCAUCCAAAAGCCCAACGCCAAGAAUAGAACUCACAAAUACGGAAACCUCCAAGAAUAGAAGCUUCCAACAUUAGAAACUUUGGUUUCCAAUUCCGACUUCUUUGUUCUUCACUUUCAUUUCUUCAUUUCUUAAGCUCCUUUGACCUUCAAACUCGUCCAUUCCUUGUGCUCCAAAAGCCUACACUUCAUUCCAGCUCAAUUUUGCUCCAAAUGCUCCGAAUUGCAUCAUUUUUUGUAAUGUGCCCUUUAAACCUGAAAACACAUGAAAGUAGCUCAAAAGACUACUUUAACAAAGAAAACAUAACGAAAAUGCAUAAGAACUAGCUAACUAAGGUGCAUAAAUAUGCUCCUAUCACCGGGGAUUAGGAGGGAUUGCUAAAUCACUUGAAAACUGACUCAAAUACGUAAAAACAAGUUUAAAACACUAAACUAGACUCAAAGAAUGCAAAACUAAACUUUAAAACACCAAAACAAACAAAAAGACUCAAAACAGCAAACAAAUACUCAAAACUGCCUUAAAACACUUUCUGGGCAGUUUCUGACACUCAGGACGAAUUUGGACGAAAAUUGAUUAUAACUUGACUCAAGACACUUAAAAACACAAACUAAAUUGAUUUCUAACUAGUAUGACUCAACAAAGAAAAGGGGGAUUGAUUUUGGACGAAUUUAAAAACAAAACAAAACUUUGUAAACUAAAACAGAUUUUAAAACGAAUUCGGAUGAUUUGAAUGGAUGGAAGGCUAGCUAAGGGGUUCAUCUCCACACAUGUCACAUUUGCAUAUAAAACGAUUUCCAAUUGCUUUUCAAUAAACCAUGAAUUCUCAACGCCCCAAGUUAAUUAGGUCCGCUUAAAUUAACCCUCAGAUUUUCCUUAAGUUAUUGAAUUGGAUGAAUUGCAUACGACAACCCAAAGCAUUCCCCACAAGUCCCCUACAUGAUUGCAUAAUAGAGAUACAAGCAAGAAUCAUUAAGUUCUAUGAAAACCAUAAGCAUUGACGAAGCACUUGUUACUAUGAUUGCAUGAAACUUAUGCCAAUAAUUUACUUAACACGAUUGUGAUCAACAACCUUUACUACUUGUGAAUUUAAGUUCAUAACGAUUAGGUGAAAUUCCCUUAUAUCCUAGCAUCAAAGUCAUGCAUGCAAACUAAGUGUCGACCCUCAAUCAACAUACAAGAAUAAGUUUUAAUUCACAUAGAUAAGCAAAUUGAACUCACAACUUAUGAAACGCAAUUAGAAGUAAUCAAAUCAUAUAGCAAGCAUAAACAUGGUUUCGAAUCCCCCCCUAGCCAAGGGGGUUUAGUUCCUCAUACUCGCAAAUAAACAAAGAUAAAUAAAUUUAAACAUUAAAACAAAGAUAGAAAACACCUAGAAACGCUCCACAAUCCAAGCUCCUUGAAUGGCAUGCACGGCUCCAAGAGUUCUUCCUUCUUCUCCUUUGCAAACUCACGGCACAAGAGGUAUAUUUGGGUGAAUGGUGUAGUGAAAAUAUGGUAGAGGAUGGUGACUAAAUGGUGCAGCAAAGGAUGGUAUUUAUAGGCUGAAAUUCGCAGCCCCUAUGUAGCAAAGGAAAAGGAUUUAAAAGCCUAAUUUGUAUAGGAUAAUAACACACAAUCCUUGAAGGAAAAGGCUAAGGCUUUUAGAAACCAAGGGGGAAAGGAAUAAUCAGGUUUCUAGAAAGGUUUGGGGCGUCACUUUUGUAGGACAAGGGAUAAGGCCUUCUAGAAAGGUUGUUUUGUGGCUGAUUUCUAGAAAAAAACAAGGGAUAAGGUGUGGCACCUUUGUAGGAGUGGAUAAGGGCUUCUAGAAACCAAUUUUAAUGUGUCCUAAUCUGAAAAUAAAUCCCCCAUGCAGCUGGAAUUAAAUUAGGAUAGGAUUAGGAUAGGAUAAGAUAAGAUAGGAUUGGAUAGGAUAGGGUUUGGAUAAUGUUUUGGAUAAGGUUUCUUCACUUGAGCUGAUUCUUUGGCUUCAACUUCCCUUCUUCAUGUAGGAAACCUUGUUUGAGUAGGAAACUUCAAUCUUCUAGGAAUCCAACUUCAACUAGGAAUCCAUCUUCAACUAGGAUUUCAUCUUCAAUUAAGCACUUUCCCACUUCAAUUAGGAAUCUUUGUAUCUUCAAUUCUUCAACUUCAAAACACAUUCCUAGCUUCAUCAAUCCUUCAAAUUCGUCCAUCCCUUGUGCUUCAUGUGCAUGAACUCCAUUCUAGCCCAAUUUUGCUCCAAAAUGCUCCAAAUUGCAUCCUUUUGCUCACUUUGUCUCUAAAACCUGAAAACACAUGAAAAUAGCUUAAAAGACUACUUUAACUAAGAAAACACAACAUAAAUGCAUAAGAACUAGCUAACUCAGGUGCAUAAAUAUGCUCCUAUCACUUUGACAUAGUCAAAGAUCAAGGGCCUAACCACAAGACAACUAUGAUGCCUUAGGUCAAAGGACUACUUUGCAUUAUCCUAACCAUGAGUUCUCAUGUGACAUGAGUAUGAGAACUCCUCGUUGAUCGUGUUCAGUGGACUCAUUCUCCAUUGAGCACCUACAUGCUUGUCUUGGUGUCAAUCACACCAAUGACUCGAGACUAGUCACUCUCCCUGAGAGAAACACAGCACGUACUGAUUUUAAUGGACUGUCAAUGCCCAAUUGGCAAUCCUAUGAUCAGGAACGUUUAGGAUAUGUAUACGAAAGAGAAUGGUCUCAUGAAUCUAACUUCUUUAAAUUACAUUCUCCUAAUUACAUAUUCCUUGGACUUAUUGUUUAAGCAUAUAACAUUUAUAUGAGACGGCUUAAAACAAUAAUCUUUGCCCUUGAUAUUAAACUAGAUUAGUUUAACAUGUAAAAUGUCCAUAAAGUAUCAUUAUAUGAUUGGUUUUAGGGCACAUUUCCAACACUAUCCUUUCCCUACAUUCAUGCCGCACCCUUAUCCUUCUAGAACCCUAAAUUGGUGACGUGAUCACCCUUUCUAGAAGACAUUAAAUAUAUGGCGCUUCUUCCUUUUCUAGAAGCCCUAGAAUCUGCUGGAAACCUCAAACCUUUUCAUCUUUGGUUUCUGCCAAACUUAGUCCUUUUCCUCAAGGAUUGUUCAAUCCUAAUCCUUAGGGAUUAUGCUGUGAGUUUGCCCUAUAAAUAUAUAUAUAUGCCGCACAAAUCAAUUAACCAACCCUCCCAAAUCAUUCUAAAAUCCUUUCAGCCCCAGAAACCACCAUUCUAUAACCUGUGCCUCAACUUUGGAGAAGAAGAUAUCCUUGCCGUGCAUUCCGUUGGAGAAGGAGGAACUUGUGCACAUGCCACCUGCAUCCUUGGGAGUUCUAAGAGUUCUUUCUUCCCUCGUUUUAGUUUCAAUGUUUAUUUCAAUUUGCUUUUCAAAUGCUAUGAACAUGUGUAACUAAGUUUUUCUUAGUUAGAGGUGAAUACAAAGCCAUGGAUAUAUGUUUAAUAUGAAUUGAUUCCCUUCAGUUAUUGUUUCAUAAAACAUGAAUGUGAUUUACUUAUCUAUUUGAUUGAUAACUUAUUCUUGUAUGUUGAUUAAGGAUGCAUACUUAGUUUACCUACAUGAAUCUGAUGCUAAAUUAUAAAGGACUUUCACCUAAUCGUUAGGAACUUAUAAUUACAAGUAGUAGAGAUUGUUAGUCACAAUCGUGUUAAGUUGAUUCUUGGCAAGAGUAUCAUGCAGUUCAUAGUUAUAAUUGUCUUGUCAAUGCUUAUGGUUUCCAUGGAACUUAAUGAUCUUCGAAUGUAUCCCUACCAUGCUGUUCAUAUAGGGAACUUGAGAAGAAUAAUUUGGUUGUGAUGCGUUGUCCAUUCAAUUCAAAGAAUUUAGGGAAAUCUGAGAGUUAAUUUGUGCAUUCACGAUUAAUUUGGGGCAUUGUCGUUCAUGGUUUAAAGAAACAAUACAGAAAUUGAUUUAUGUUGCAUAUGUUCAUGUGUGGAGAAGGACCCUCUAACUAGCCUAUUACACCAUUCAAUUCACCCAAUUUCAUAUCUAGUUUACUUUGGUUUGCAAUCUGUUUAGUUUUACUUCAAUUUCGUCAAAACGACCCCCUUUAAAACACCAAAAUUAUGUUGACACUCAAAUUAAACCCUCUUUUUAUCAAUUGUAGCAAUGUAUGUAAGUAGGGAUCGUUCUAGACCGGGGAUUAGGAGGGAUUGCAAAAUCACUUGGACAGGACUCAAAAACGUAAAACAAGUUUUAAACACUAAAAUAGACUCAAAGAAUGCAAAACUAAACUUUAAAACACCAAAACAAACCAAAAGACUCAAAACAGCACCAAAACACUCAAAACUGCCUUAAAAACACAAUCUGGGCAGUUUUGGACACUAAGCACCAAAUUGGACGAAUUUGGGUUUUAACUUGAAUCAAAACACUUAAAAACACAAAGUAAAACACUUACUAACUAAUUUGACACUUUAAAACAAAGGGGGAUUGGUUUUGGACGAAUUUAAAAACAAAACAAACUUUGUAAAUUAGAACAGAUUGAAAGAACGAAUUUGAUUUAAAUGGGUGAAUGGAAGGCUAGCUAAGGGGUUCAUCUCCACACAUGUUAUACUUGCAUACGAAACGAUUUCCAAUUGCUUUUCAAUAAACCAUGAAUUCUCAAUGCCCCAAGUUAAUUAGGUCCGCUUAAAUUAACCUUCAGAUUUUCCUAACGUUAUUGAAUUGGAUGAUUGCAUACGACAACCCAAAACAUUCCCCACAAGUCCCCUACAUGAUUGCAUAAUAGAGAUACAAGCAAGAAUCAUUAAGUUCUAUGAAAACCAUAAGCAUUGACGAAGCACUUGUUACUAUGAUUGCAUGAAACUUAUGCCAAGAAUUUACUUAACGCGAUUGAGAUCAUCAACCUUUACUACUUGUGAAUAUAAUUCCAUAACGAUUAGGUGAAAUUUCCUUAUAUCCUAGCAUUCAAUUUAUGCAUGAUAAUUAAGCGUGCACUCUCAACCAACACACACAAAUCAAUGUAAUCCACAUAGAUAAGUAAAUUGAAUUCACAACUUAUGAAACGCAAUUAGAAGUAAUCAAAUCAUAACGCAAGCAUAAACAUGUAUUCGAAUCCCCCCUAGCCAAGGGGGGGUUUAGUUCCUCAUAUGCACAAAACAAAGAGAAUUGAAUUUAAACAUUGAAAUCAAAGGAAAAGAAACACCUAGAAAUUCCAGCAGCUUCAACUUGAAUUUCAUGAACUCCCAAGCAUUCUUCUCAUCCUCCUUGGUGCGGCAAAGGACUUAGGGACAGGUUUAGGGCCUUAUGGAUGGUGUAGAACGAUUAUGGAUGGAUGUAUGAGUGUUUAGGGAGGAAGGAUGGUGCGGCAAAGGUGUAGAAUGGUGUAGGGAGGCUGCUGCAAGAGUGGAGAGCAGUUUGGACGAAUUUCUGGAGUUGUUUGUGAAUUGUGGUGAGUUGUCUUCUGAUUUAGGGGUUAAUAGGAGUAUAUAUAGGCACUUAAAACCCUAGGGUAAUCAGAUAUGGACUUGGAUAACCCAAAUCCACAAGGAAAUAGGUCUAACAAUCAGAUUUUGCAAGGGAAAAGGGGUCCUAGGUGCGGCUGGAUAGGAAUAAGGUGGAUAAGGCUUCUAGAUGGCCUUGCAAGGCAAGGAAAUCAGGUUUCUAGAAGGGAUAGGUGCGGCACUUAAAGGAUAGGGCAGAUUAGGGCUUCUAGAAACCCUCUAAUGCAAGGAAAACUCACGGCAAGGAUGGAUAAGGUUUCUAGAACAAGGAUAAGGUAUCUUAAAUGGAUAAGGACUCCUCAUUGCAUUUGGAAACUUUGCCUAUUAGGAUUAGGAAACCUUGUCUUUGUCAUUCCUUCUUCAUUCUGGAUUCCUUCUCCUUCUUGGACUUGGAAAUCUUCUUUGUAGCUACAACUUGAUGCCAUUUGGAUUUAACUUUCCUACUUCAAGUAGGAAACCUUGUUUGAGUAGGAAUCUUCAUCCUCAAGGAAUCCUAAUUCAACUAGGAAACCCAUUUUGACUAGGAAUCCUAAUUCAACUAGGAUUCCAUCUUCACUUAGGCGCUUUCCUACUUCGACUAGGAAACCUUGUUCAAGUAGGAAAAAUCAUCUUCAAAUCUUCAAUUUCGUCCAUCCUCUUGGCUCCAAGCAUAUGACAUCCAUUCCAAGCUCAACUUUGCUCCAAAAAGCUCCAAAAUGCAUCCUUUUGCAUACUUUGCCCUUAGAACCUGAAAACACAUAAAACUAGCUUAAAAGACUACUUAACUAAGGAAAAACACUAUAAAUGCACAAGAACGAGCUAAACUAAGGCGCAUAAAUAUGCUCCUAUCAGUUAAUAUAGGUUAGAAUUAGUCCAUAAACAUUGUUUGAGUCUUAAUUAGUCUUAAAUUCGUCCAAAUAACUCCCUAGCGUCUGUUUUGAGUCUAAUUGUUAGUAUGGUGCUGUUUUGAGUCUUUUAAGUGUGUUUUGAGUUACUUAAGUCAUAAUCUGUUUUCUUUUAGUCUUUUGAGUUAAAUUAAGUUUUAUUUUCGUCCA
This 8023-nucleotide long non-coding RNA is filed under the name Malus domestica (apple). Its description in RNAcentral is "long non-coding RNA (MDOM_LNC019980)". The record is from RNAcentral. Lineage: Eukaryota; Viridiplantae; Streptophyta; Magnoliopsida; Rosales; Rosaceae.